AGCGGCCCAUUUGUGAGUAACACGUGGGUAACCUGCCUGUAAGACUGGGAUCACUCCGGGAAACCGGGGCUAAUACCGGAUGGUUGUCUGAACCGCAUGGUUCAGACAUAAAAGGUGGCUUCGGCUACCACUUACAGAUGGACCCGCGGCGCAUUAGCUAGUUGGUGAGGUAACGGCUCACCAAGGCAACGAUGCGUAGCCGACCUGAGAGGGUGAUCGGCCACACUGGGACUGAGACACGGCCCAGACUCCUACGGGAGGCAGCAGUAGGGAAUCUUCCGCAAUGGACGAAAGUCUGACGGAGCAACGCCGCGUGAGUGAUGAAGGUUUUCGGAUCGUAAAGCUCUGUUGUUAGGGAAGAACAAGUGCCGUUCAAAUAGGGCGGCACCUUGACGGUACCUAACCAGAAAGCCACGGCUAACUACGUGCCAGCAGCCGCGGUAAUACGUAGGUGGCAAGCGUUGUCCGGAAUUAUUGGGCGUAAAGGGCUCGCAGGCGGUUUCUUAAGUCUGAUGUGAAAGCCCCCGGCUCAACCGGGGAGGGUCAUUGGAAACUGGGGAACUUGAGUGCAGAAGAGGAGAGUGGAAUUCCACGUGUAGCGGUGAAAUGCGUAGAGAUGUGGAGGAACACCAGUGGCGAAGGCGACUCUCUGGUCUGUAACUGACGCUGAGGAGCGAAAGCGUGGGGAGCGAACAGGAUUAGAUACCCUGGUAGUCCACGCCGUAAACG
RNAcentral lists this ribosomal RNA (729 nucleotides) under Bacillus pumilus. Its description in RNAcentral is "bacterial SSU rRNA". It matches the Rfam family "Bacterial small subunit ribosomal RNA", at positions 94 to 808 of the family's 1533-position model. The record is from RNAcentral. Lineage: Bacteria; Bacillati; Bacillota; Bacilli; Caryophanales; Bacillaceae.